GUGCUCAUUCACUGUAUAUAUACUAAAACUGGAAAGAUAGAGAGAAGACCAGCAUGGCCCCUGCCCAAGGAUUUGAAGCAAAUUCGUGAAGCAUUCCAUAUUUAU
Suricata suricatta (meerkat) is the source of this 105-nucleotide small nuclear RNA. NCBI's taxonomy places the organism in Eukaryota, Metazoa, Chordata, Mammalia, Carnivora, Herpestidae. The record is from Ensembl.